GCUAAUUUGGCAGAAAAGUGCUUUAAAUUUAGAAUUUAAAAAUGUAAAUGUAAUACUACAGUUAGUA
This 67-nucleotide transfer RNA is filed under the name Perkinsiella saccharicida. Its description in RNAcentral is "tRNA-Leu". The record is from RNAcentral. Lineage: Eukaryota; Metazoa; Arthropoda; Insecta; Hemiptera; Delphacidae.